AGAGUUUGAUCCUGGCUCAGAUUGAACGCUGGCGGCAGGCCUAACACAUGCAAGUCGAACGGUAACAGGAAGCAGCUUGCUGCUUCGCUGACGAGUGGCGGACGGGUGAGUAAUGUCUGGGAAACUGCCUGAUGGAGGGGGAUAACUACUGGAAACGGUAGCUAAUACCGCAUAACGUCGCAAGACCAAAGAGGGGGACCUUCGGGCCUCUUGCCAUCGGAUGUGCCCAGAUGGGAUUAGCUAGUAGGUGGGGUAACGGCUCACCUAGGCGACGAUCCCUAGCUGGUCUGAGAGGAUGACCAGCCACACUGGAACUGAGACACGGUCCAGACUCCUACGGGAGGCAGCAGUGGGGAAUAUUGCACAAUGGGCGCAAGCCUGAUGCAGCCAUGCCGCGUGUAUGAAGAAGGCCUUCGGGUUGUAAAGUACUUUCAGCGGGGAGGAAGGGAGUAAAGUUAAUACCUUUGCUCAUUGACGUUACCCGCAGAAGAAGCACCGGCUAACUCCGUGCCAGCAGCCGCGGUAAUACGGAGGGUGCAAGCGUUAAUCGGAAUUACUGGGCGUAAAGCGCACGCAGGCGGUUUGUUAAGUCAGAUGUGAAAUCCCCGGGCUCAACCUGGGAACUGCAUCUGAUACUGGCAAGCUUGAGUCUCGUAGAGGGGGGUAGAAUUCCAGGUGCAGCGGUGAAAUGCGUAGAGAUCUGGAGGAAUACCGGUGGCGAAGGCGGCCCCCUGGACGAAGACUGACGCUCAGGUGCGAAAGCGUGGGGAGCAAACAGGAUUAGAUACCCUGGUAGUCCACGCCGUAAACGAUGUCGACUUGGAGGUUGUGCCCUUGAGGCGUGGCUUCCGGAGCUAACGCGUUAAGUCGACCGCCUGGGGAGGACGGCCGCAAGGUUAAAACUCAAAUGAAUUGACGGGGGCCCGCACAAGCGGUGGAGCAUGUGGUUUAAUUCGAUGCAACGCGAAGAACCUUACCUGGUCUUGACAUCCACGGAAGUUUUCAGAGAUGAGAAUGUGCCUUCGGGAACCGUGAGACAGGUGCUGCAUGGCUGUCGUCAGCUCGUGUUGUGAAAUGUUGGGUUAAGUCCCGCAACGAGCGCAACCCUUAUCCUUUGUUGCCAGCGGUCCGGCCGGGAACUCAAAGGAGACUGCCAGUGAUAAACUGGAGGAAGGUGGGGAUGACGUCAAGUCAUCAUGGCCCUUACGACCAGGGCUACACACGUGCUACAAUGGCGCAUACAAAGAGAAGCGACCUCGCGAGAGCAAGCGGACCUCAUAAAGUGCGUCGUAGUCCGGAUUGGAGUCUGCAACUCGACUCCAUGAAGUCGGAAUCGCUAGUAAUCGUGGAUCAGAAUGCCACGGUGAAUACGUUCCCGGGCCUUGCACUCACCGCCCGUCA
This 1401-nucleotide ribosomal RNA is filed under the name uncultured bacterium. Its description in RNAcentral is "bacterial SSU rRNA". It matches the Rfam family "Bacterial small subunit ribosomal RNA". The record is from RNAcentral.